Molecule: ribosomal RNA, 789 nt
Filed under: Meloidogyne chitwoodi
Lineage: Eukaryota; Metazoa; Nematoda; Chromadorea; Rhabditida; Meloidogynidae
Description: 16S ribosomal RNA
Source: RNAcentral
UAUAUUAUUUUUUGUUGUUGAAAAAAUUAAAAAAAAAUUAUAAGUUAUAAUAAUUAAAAUUCUAAAAAAGGAUUAUUUGUUUUUUAGUUAAAUAUUAUAAAUAUAAUGGUUUAAAAAAGAGAAAUUUUGAUUAGAAUAAUAUUAGUUUUUUUUUAUAUUUUUUAUAAUAAUUGUUUAUUUUUUAUAAUUAUUUUUUUUUAUAAAAAUAAUUUAAUUAUUAUUAUUUUAUUUAAAAAAAUUAAUUAAAUUAAUUUUUUUGUUAAAUUAGUUUAAAUAUAAAAUGUUUUUUAAAAUCUGAUGAAUUUUUGGUUUUAAUUUUUUAUUUCUGCUCAGUGAUUUAUUGAAUGGUAUCUUUAGCGUGAUUGAUCAAAGGUAGCAUAAUAAUUUGUUUUUUUAUUGAAUUCUGGGAUGAAGAAUAAAAUUAUAUUUUUUUUAAUUUUAUUUUGAAAAAGUUUUUAUUUAUUUAAAAAUUAAUAAUUAAAUUAAAACUAAGAUUAGUCUUUAGAAAUUAUGUUUUUUAUUAUUUAAUUAGGGUAAUUACUUUUUUAUUAUUUUUUUCUUUAAAAUUAAAAAUAAUUUCUCUAGAGUUAACAGGAAUAAAAAUUAAUUUAUUUUUUUUACAUCGUUGUUGUUUUAUUUUUUUUUUAAUUAUAGUAUUUUUAAAAAAAAAGACUGUUCUUCUAUUAAAAAUUACGUGAAAUUAGUUUAAAUCGUUGUGAAAUAGAUUUGUUUAUCUAGUUUAUUUGUUAUAUUUUUAAGGUGUACGAAAGGAUAAUUAAUCUUAAUUAA